RNAcentral lists this ribosomal RNA (1449 nucleotides) under uncultured bacterium. Its description in RNAcentral is "partial 16S ribosomal RNA". It matches the Rfam family "Bacterial small subunit ribosomal RNA". The record is from RNAcentral.
AGGGUUUGAUCAUGGCUCAGAACGUACGCUGGCGGCACGCCUAACACAUGCAAGUCGAACGAAGUAGCAAUACUUAGUGGCAGACGGGUGAGUAACAUGUGGGAAUCUGCCUUGUGGUUCAGGACAACAUUGGGAAACCGAUGCUAAUACUGGAUAAGCCCUUACGGGGAAAGUUUUAAUGCCAUAAGAUGAGCCCGCAUUUGAUUAGUUAGUUGGUGAGGUAAUGGCUCACCAAGACAAUGAUCAAUAGCUGAUCUGAGAGGAUGAUCAGCCACACUGGGACUGAGACACGGCCCAGACUCCUACGGGAGGCAGCAGUGGGGAAUCUUGCACAAUGGAGGAAACUCUGAUGCAGCGAUGCCGCGUGAGUGAAGAAGGCCUUUGGGUUGUAAAGCUCUUUUGUAGGGGAAGAUAAUGACUGUACCCUAAGAAUAAGGUCCGGCUAACUUCGUGCCAGCAGCCGCGGUAAUACGAAGGGACCUAGCGUAGUUCGGAAUUACUGGGCGUAAAGCGCGCGUAGGCCGUUGAGUUAGUUAAUUGUGAAAUCCCAAAGCUUAACUUUGGAACUGCAAUUAAAACUGCUCGACUAGAGUUUGAUAGAGGAAAGCGGAAUACAUAGUGUAGAGGUGAAAUUCGUAGAUAUUAUGUAGAACACCAGUUGCGAAGGCGGCUUUCUGGAUCAACACUGACGCUGAGGCGCGAAAGUAUGGGUAGCAAAGAGGAUUAGAUACCCUCGUAGUCCAUACCAUAAACGAUGAUUGCUAGAUGUUGGAAAUUUAUUUUCAGUAUCGCAGCUAACGCAUUAAGCAAUCCGCCUGGGGAGUACGACCGCAAGGUUAAAACUCAAAUGAAUUGACGGGGACCCGCACAAGCGGUGGAGCAUGUGGUUUAAUUCGAAGAUACGCGCAGAACCUUACCAACCCUUGACAUGUCUGUCGCGAGUUUAGGAAACUAGACUUUUCGGUUCGGCCGGACAGAACACAGGUGCUGCAUGGCUGUCGUCAGCUCGUGUCGUGAGAUGUUGGGUUAAGUCCCGCAACGAGCGCAACCCUUGCCAUUAAUUGCCAUCAUUUAGUUGGGCACUUUAAUGGGACUGCCGGUGACAAACCGGAGGAAGGUGGGGAUGACGUCAAGUCCUCAUGGCCCUUAUGGCCAGGGCUUCACACGUAAUACAAUGGUCGGUACAGAGGGAAGCCAACCCGCGAGGGGGAGCCAAUCUCAGAAAGCCGGUCGUAGUCCGGAUUGUUGUCUGCAACUCGACAGCAUGAAGUCGGAAUCGCUAGUAAUCGCGGAUCAGCAUGUCGCGGUGAAUACGUUCCCGGGCCUUGUACACACCGCCCGUCACACCAUGGGAGUGGGUUUUACCAGAAGUAGUUAGUCUAUCCGCAAGGGGGACGAUUACCACGGUAGGAUUCAUGACUGGGGUGAAGUCGUAACAAGGUAACCGUA